This 398-nucleotide ribosomal RNA is filed under the name uncultured bacterium. RNAcentral describes it as "partial 16S ribosomal RNA". It matches the Rfam family "Bacterial small subunit ribosomal RNA", at positions 338 to 734 of the family's 1533-position model. The record is from RNAcentral.
CCUACGGGCGGCAGCAGUGAGGAAUAUUGGUCAAUGGCCGGAAGGCUGAACCAGCCAAGCCGCGUGAAGGACGAAGGUGCCAAGCAUUGUAAACUUCUUUUGUCAAGGGACAAAAUCAGGCUCGAGAGCCUGACCGAGGUUACUUGAAGAAAAAGCAUCGGCUAACUCCGGGCCAGCAGCCUCGGUAAUAGGGGGGGGGCGAGCGUUAUCCGGAUUGAUUGGGGUAAAGGGGUGCGUGGGCGGACAGUUAAGUCAACGGUAAAAGCCCGGGGCUAACCCCCGGCGAGCCGUUGAAACUGGCUGUCUUGAGAUGUCGAGAGGUGUGCAGAAUGCGAAGUGUAGCGGUGAAAUGCUUAGAGAUUGCGCAGAACUCCGAUUGCGAAGGCAGCAUACCGGCG